GCUGGUUCAAGUGGUUAGGGAGCUGGUGUGUUGGAGGUCUUGUGCUUGAAUCCCUGUGCGAGCGUGAGUAUUUUUUGCUUAUUUGUUUGAUAGAGUUUUAGUGGAGUUGAAAUUCUAAAGUGGUUAUGAGUUAGAGGCUUAGUGGGAGGAAAAGUAAGGAAGUUAUCAGAUUUCUGAUUCUGUCUAGUUUUUUGUAAUCUUUUUCCCAAAAAUUUGUUCCUAACGUUUUCCUCUUUUUCCCCUACCUUCCACUUUCGUUUUCUCUUUUUUAUUCUUCAGAUUUCUGUUAUUCUCUUGUUCGACUGUCGUUGCUUCAAUUUUUGGAUUCGUUAAUCGGCUUGCUCAAGAGCUUAAAGGAUCGAAGUUGGAUAAGGGGAAAGAAAAAGUAAUUGAAUAGCCGUUGAAGACGUUCGACAACAUCCGAGGUCUCUUGGACUCGUAUCGUUUGCGUGCUCGGAACCGUCGUUGAAGUCAUCACACCGGCUGAAAUCUUGUGGUAUUGUUUUCGUUGUUGAAGAACAUUUGGCAUGUAUAGGCUAUUAUAUUUUGUCGAAUUGUGGGUUGUAAACUUUAAGCCAUGUGAAAAUGGCCUAUGCGGUCGUCGAGUGGGAUGCUAGAACCUAUAGCCACGAGUCUUAGAAACUCUAAUUUUGAUAAGGUGGCCAUAAUUUGUGUCAUGUACGAUGGAUGAUUAAGGCCAAGGAAAGAUUCAUGAAAUUGGCAUAGUCUACUGCAGUAACUGUUGCGGACAGCAGCAGUGAGAUGAGAUUGAAAAA
Molecule: long non-coding RNA, 776 nt
Organism: Gossypium arboreum
Lineage: Eukaryota; Viridiplantae; Streptophyta; Magnoliopsida; Malvales; Malvaceae
Exons: 3
Source: RefSeq, a predicted model, not a curated record